AAUUGCUAGUAAUGGCAGGUCAGCAUACUGCCGUGAAUACGUUCCCGGGCCUUGUACACACCGCCCGUCACACCAUGAGAGUUGGAAAUACCCGAAGCCUGUGAGCUAACAAACGAGGCAGCAGUCGAAGGUAGAGCCAAUGAUUGGGGUGAAGUCGUAACAAGGUAUC
This 169-nucleotide ribosomal RNA is filed under the name uncultured bacterium. Its description in RNAcentral is "partial 16S ribosomal RNA". It matches the Rfam family "Bacterial small subunit ribosomal RNA", at positions 1330 to 1500 of the family's 1533-position model. The record is from RNAcentral.